AACGCAUCUUGCGCUCCUUGGUAUUCCGAGGAGCAUGCCUGUUUGAGUAUCAUUAAAUUAUCAACUGUGCCAAUUAUUUUGGUUUACAGAUUGGAUGUGGGGGGGAUUUUGCAGGCUUUUUAUUGAGUCUGCUCUCCUGAAAUGUAUUAGCAGUGCCUUUGUUGGUUUCCUUGGGUGUGAUAAUUUAUCUACAUCUUUACAUGGUACCUUCAUUUGUAAAGGUCAUAUUGCUUCCAAUUGUCUUUGGACGGAAUUAUGAAACUUGAUCUCAAAUCAGGCAGGACUACCCGCUGAACUUAA
RNAcentral lists this unclassified non-coding RNA (300 nucleotides) under uncultured Inocybe. RNAcentral's name for it is "sequence contains ITS2". The record is from RNAcentral. Lineage: Eukaryota; Fungi; Basidiomycota; Agaricomycetes; Agaricales; Cortinariaceae.